Molecule: long non-coding RNA, 767 nt
Filed under: Medicago truncatula (barrel medic)
Lineage: Eukaryota; Viridiplantae; Streptophyta; Magnoliopsida; Fabales; Fabaceae
Description: long non-coding RNA (MTRU_LNC002511)
Source: RNAcentral
AAAAACCCAACACAUACCUAACAUGUGGAUCGCAAAGGUACAGAGCCCAGUUAUUGACAACUACAUUGAGCUGAAUUCUCAAAUUUGGAGUAUAUCCAACCAGUUAGGCGUAUGUUGUUCACAGUUGAAGGUUAUGCCUUUGCUUGUACUUUAGCUCCCUACUUUGUACGUGAAAUGGGUACUUUUUAUUAUCACCAAAUAAUGUAAUUAUUGUGCAAAAUAAAAUGACAGUUAAUUUCCAGCGUACUAAUUUACGUGUUGUAUUUCUAGGCAAGGGGAACGCAUUCACUUAAAAUAGUACAUAAAAUGGACAAGAUCAUAAUGGUCAACACGUAACCAAAGUUUGAAAGGUAAUUCCCAAAUAACAAACAGCUUACCCAUGAAGAGAAAGCAGCUUACAUGGUCCUAGAAGGAAAAAUAACAGAAGGCCCCAACACAGAUAGCAACACGACAUUCAAAAUGCAUGUGAAGUUAAUAUGGCCUAAUAUAUCAAUGACUCAGCAUAAUUCAAAAUAGGCCUAACAUUAGAUACUAAUUAUAACGACUUCUGACAAGAACCGCUGGUUAAUUAUAAUUGUACUUGUUAGCCAAAAUGAAAAAUAACACAGGCGUUGUUAAAGAGUUUUGAAUCAUAGAGCAAGAUGCUUUGUAGUUGUACCACCACUUCACGGUUGAGUUCUUCUUGCGUUCCCCCCAUUGUAUUGUGAACACACUUGUCCUCCAUUGUUAAUUGAUAUGCAAUACUUCGUAAUGAAAACAAUGUAAAA